AGUAAUACAUCGGAACGUGUCUUCUAGUGGGGGAUAACUGCCCGAAAGGGCAGCUAAUACCGCAUGAGACCUGAGGGUGAAAGGCGGGGGAUCGCAAGACCUCGCGCUGGAAGAGCGGCAGAUGUCCGAUUAGCUAGUUGGUGAGGUAAAGGCUCACCAAGGCGACGAUCGGUAGCUGGUCUGAGAGGACGACCAGCCACACUGGGACUGAGACACGGCCCAG
RNAcentral lists this ribosomal RNA (223 nucleotides) under uncultured bacterium. RNAcentral describes it as "partial 16S ribosomal RNA". It matches the Rfam family "Bacterial small subunit ribosomal RNA", at positions 109 to 334 of the family's 1533-position model. The record is from RNAcentral.